UACGGGGGGUGCAAGCGUUGUUCGGAAUCAUUGGGCGUAAAGAGCGUGUAGGCGGCUGAGCAAGUCAGAUGUGAAAUCCCUGGGCUUAACCCAGGAAGUGCAUUUGAAACUGCUCAGCUUGAGUAAGGAAGAGGGAAGUGGAAUUCCUGGUGUAGAGGUGAAAUUCGUAGAUAUCAGGAGGAACACCGGUGGCGAAGGCGACUUCCUGGUCCUAUACUGACGCUGAGACGCGAGAGCGUGGGGAGCAAACAGG
RNAcentral lists this ribosomal RNA (253 nucleotides) under uncultured Syntrophus sp. Its description in RNAcentral is "partial 16S ribosomal RNA". It matches the Rfam family "Bacterial small subunit ribosomal RNA", at positions 524 to 776 of the family's 1533-position model. Lineage: Bacteria; Pseudomonadati; Thermodesulfobacteriota; Syntrophia; Syntrophales; Syntrophaceae. The record is from RNAcentral.